GAUAAUUGAAUAUUUUUGCCAUGUCAAUAGGUAGCACUUUUAUUGAUCUCUUUUAUAUAUUGUAGUGAAGUGAAGUGAUUUAUGUAUUAUGAAACUUAUAUGUCCUUAAUUUCUUGUCAUGUCAUACUACACCUCUAACUCAUUUUUAUACUGUCAACCUACCUCCAUACCAUAUCACACUACUUGUACAGAGAAAGUAUGGUCUGCUAUGACACCUGAUCUAUAAUUGCACCAUAUCACUUAUCUUGUUUUUUUUAAUCUAUAUACUAUGUACUCUACAAUUUUACUACUCCACACACACACACACACACAUAUAUUAUUUAUUUAUUUAUUAGAAAAAUGGUCUCUAUUUUAUAUUUUACAAAGGCAGUAUGGCUCUAAUGGACAGGUAACCUGACUGCACCAUAUCACAUUAACUUCCUAUUCAUCUUUUUAUUUUAAUUAAUUUAACAUCGUACUAUUACUCAAGUUUCUAAAAAAAAAAAAGUUGAACCCCAACCUUGAGGGCCCUCACCGUCCCGUC
Molecule: long non-coding RNA, 523 nt
Filed under: Olea europaea (common olive)
Lineage: Eukaryota; Viridiplantae; Streptophyta; Magnoliopsida; Lamiales; Oleaceae
Description: long non-coding RNA (OEUR_LNC007795)
Source: RNAcentral